This 407-nucleotide ribosomal RNA is filed under the name uncultured bacterium. RNAcentral's name for it is "partial 16S ribosomal RNA". It matches the Rfam family "Bacterial small subunit ribosomal RNA", at positions 30 to 526 of the family's 1533-position model. The record is from RNAcentral.
AUUGAACGCUGGCGGCAGGCCUAACACAUGCAAGUCGAGCGGAGCGGCGGACGGGUGAGUAAGGACUAGGAUUCUGCCUGGUAGUGGGGGAUAACGUACGGAAACGGGCGCUAAUACAGAAUACUAUCAGAUGAGCCGAGGGCGGAUUAGCUAGUGGGUGGGGUAAAGGCCUACCAAGGCGACGAUCCGGAACUGGUCUGAGAGGAGGCUCAGUCACACGUGAACUGAGACACGGUCCCGACUCCUACGGGAUGCCGCAGUGGGGAAUAUUGGGCUAUUGGCGAAAGCCUGAUCCAGCCAUGCCGCGUGUGUGAAGAGGGUCUUCUGAUUUUAAAGCACUUUAAGUUUGGAGGCGUUACCCGCAGAAGAAGCACCGGCUAACUCCGUGCCAGCAGCCGCGGUAAUAC